UCCGGGGGGGGCAAGCGUUGUUCGGAAUUACUGGGCGUAAAGGGCUCGUAGGCGGCCAACUAAGUCGGAUGUGAAAUCCCCAGGCUUAACCUGGGAACUGCAUCCGAUACUGGAUGGCUUGAAUCCGGGAGAGGGAUGCAGAAUUCCAGGUGUAGCGGUGAAAUGCGUAGAUAUCUGGAGGAAUACCGGUGGCGAAGGCGGCAUCCUGGACCGGCAUUGACGCUGAUGAGCGAAAGCUAGGGGAGCAAACGGG
RNAcentral lists this ribosomal RNA (253 nucleotides) under uncultured bacterium. Its description in RNAcentral is "partial 16S ribosomal RNA". It matches the Rfam family "Bacterial small subunit ribosomal RNA", at positions 524 to 776 of the family's 1533-position model. The record is from RNAcentral.